UACAGAGGUCUCAAGCGUUGUUCGGAUUCAUUGGGCGUAAAGGGUGUGUAGGUGGCGCCGUAAGUCGGGUGUGAAAUUUCGGAGCUUAACUCCGAAACUGCAUUCGAUACUGCGGUGCUUGAGGACUGGAGAGGAGACUGGAAUUCAUGGUGUAGCAGUGAAAUGCGUAGAGAUCAUGAGGAAGACCAGUGGCGAAGGCGGGUCUCUGGACAGUUCCUGACGCUGAGACGCGAAAGCGUGGGGAGCGAACAGG
RNAcentral lists this ribosomal RNA (253 nucleotides) under uncultured bacterium. RNAcentral's name for it is "partial 16S ribosomal RNA". It matches the Rfam family "Bacterial small subunit ribosomal RNA", at positions 524 to 776 of the family's 1533-position model. The record is from RNAcentral.